AUGUAAUACGAUGCUUUAGGCACCUAAUUUUUAGGUUUAAUAGGGAAAUCGGUGAAAAUCCGAUGCAACCCCCGUUACUGUAUACAGGUACAAAACCAAUAUCCACUGGACUUAUUCUGGGAAGGAUGGUAGAGGCUAAACUGUGAGUCAGGAGACCUACCUAAAGUAUUAUGGAACU
Molecule: non-coding RNA, 178 nt
Filed under: Clostridium felsineum
Lineage: Bacteria; Bacillati; Bacillota; Clostridia; Eubacteriales; Clostridiaceae
Source: RNAcentral